GAUGAAGAACGUAGCGAAAUGCGAUAAGUAAUGUGAAUUGCAGAAUUCAGUGAAUCAUCGAAUCUUUGAACGCACAUUGCGCCCGCCAGUAUUCUGGCGGGCAUGCCUGUUCGAGCGUCAUUUCAACCAUCAAGCCCCCAGGCUUGUGUUGGGGACCUGCGGCUGCCGCAGGCCCUGAAAACCAGUGGCGGGCUCGCUAGUCACUCCGAGCGUAGUAGUUACAUCUCGCUCAGGGCGUGCUGCGGGUUCCGGCCGUUAAAAGCCUUUUACCCCAAGGUUGACCUCGGAUCAGGUAGGAAGACCCGCUGAACUUAAGCAUAUCAAUAAGCGGAGGA
RNAcentral lists this unclassified non-coding RNA (335 nucleotides) under soil metagenome. RNAcentral's name for it is "partial contains 5.8S ribosomal RNA, internal transcribed spacer 2, and large subunit ribosomal RNA". The stretch from base 1 to 120 matches the Rfam family "5.8S ribosomal RNA", at positions 35 to 154 of the family's 154-position model. The record is from RNAcentral.